This 854-nucleotide ribosomal RNA is filed under the name uncultured bacterium. RNAcentral describes it as "SSU rRNA". It matches the Rfam family "Bacterial small subunit ribosomal RNA", at positions 524 to 1381 of the family's 1533-position model. The record is from RNAcentral.
UACGGAGGAUGCAAGCGUUAUCCGGAUUCAUUGGGUUUAAAGGGUGCGCAGGUGGACUUGUAAGUCAGUGGUGAAAUGCUGCCGCUUAACGGUAGAAUUGCCAUUGAUACUGCAGGUCUUGAAUAUAAUUGAGGUAAGCGGAAUGUGUUGUGUAGCGGUGAAAUGCAUAGAUAUGACACAGAACACCGAUUGCGAAGGCAGCUUACUAAGCUAUUAUUGACGCUGAGGCACGAAAGCGUGGGGAUCGAACAGGAUUAGAUACCCUGGUAGUCCACGCUGUAAACGAUGAUCGCUCGCUGUUUGCGAUACACAGUAAGCGGCUGACCGAAAGCAUUAAGUGAUCCACCUGGGGAGUACGAUCGCAAGGUUGAAACUCAAAGGAAUUGACGGGGGCCCGCACAAGCGGAGGAACAUGUGGUUUAAUUCGAUGAUACGCGAGGAACCUUACCUGGGCUUAAAUGUAGAGUGUAUGAGGUGGAAACACUUCUUCCCUUCGGGGCUCUUUACAAGGUGCUGCAUGGUUGUCGUCAGCUCGUGCCGCGAGGUGUCGGUCUAAGUCCCAUAACGAGCGCAACCCUUACCGUUAGUUGCCAUCAGGUCAUCCUUGGGACUCUAGCGCGACCACCACCGUAAGGUGAGAGGAAGGUGGGGAAGACGUCAAAUCAGCACGGCCCUUAUGUCCAGGGCUACACACGUGUUACAAUGGUCGGUACAAAGGGCAGCUACACUGCGAACUGAUGCUAAUUCCAAAAACCGAUCCCAGUUUGGAUUGGAGUUUGCAACCUGACUCCAUGAAGUUGGAUUCGCUUGUAAUCGCGCAUCAACCAUGGCGCGGUGAAUACGUUCCCGGGCCU